UACGUAGGGUGCGAGCGUUGUCCGGAAUUAUUGGGCGUAAAGAGCUUGUAGGUGGCUCGUUGCGUCGGGAGUGAAAACCUGCGGCUUAACCGCAGGCCUGCUUCCGAUACGGGCGAGCUAGAGUUCGGCAGGGGAGACUGGAAUUCCUGGUGUAGCGGUGGAAUGCGCAGAUAUCAGGAGGAACACCUGUGGCGAAGGCGGCCCCCUGGUUGGAUACUGACGCUGAUACGCGAAAGCGUGGGGAGCAAACAGG
RNAcentral lists this ribosomal RNA (253 nucleotides) under uncultured bacterium. Its description in RNAcentral is "partial 16S ribosomal RNA". It matches the Rfam family "Bacterial small subunit ribosomal RNA", at positions 524 to 776 of the family's 1533-position model. The record is from RNAcentral.